RNAcentral lists this ribosomal RNA (119 nucleotides) under Brassica oleracea var. oleracea. Lineage: Eukaryota; Viridiplantae; Streptophyta; Magnoliopsida; Brassicales; Brassicaceae. The record is from RNAcentral.
GGGUGCGAUCAUACGAGUACUAAUGCACCGGAUCCCAUCAGAACUCUGCAAUUAAGCUUGCUUGGGCGAGAGUAGUACUAGGAUGGGUGACCUCCCGGGAAGUUCUCGUGUUGCACACC